AUUGAACGCUGGCGGCAGGCUUAACACAUGCAAGUCGAGCGGGGGAAGGUAGCUUGCUACCGGACCUAGCGGCGGACGGGUGAGUAAUGCUUAGGAAUCUGCCUAUUAGUGAGGGACAACAUCUCGAAAGGGAUGCUAAUACCGCAUACGUCCUACGGGAGAAAGCAGGGGAUCUUCGGACCUUGCGCUAAUAGAUGAGCCUAAGUCGGAUUAGCUAGUUGGUGGGGUAUAGGCCUACCAAGGCGACGAUCUGUAGCGGGUCUGAGAGGAUGAUCCGCCACACUGGGACUGAGACACGGCCCAGACUCCUACGGGAGGCAGCAGUGGGGAAUAUUGGACAAUGGGGGGAACCCUGAUCCAGCCAUGCCGCGUGUGUGAAGAAGGCCUUAUGGUUGUAAAGCACUUUAAGCGAGGAGGAGGCUACUUUAGUUAAUACCUAGAGAUAGUGGACGUUACUCGCAGAAUAAGCACCGGCUAACUCUGUGCCAGCCGCCGCGGUAA
This 501-nucleotide ribosomal RNA is filed under the name uncultured bacterium. Its description in RNAcentral is "partial 16S ribosomal RNA". It matches the Rfam family "Bacterial small subunit ribosomal RNA", at positions 30 to 523 of the family's 1533-position model. The record is from RNAcentral.